Molecule: long non-coding RNA, 735 nt
Filed under: Sarcophilus harrisii (Tasmanian devil)
Lineage: Eukaryota; Metazoa; Chordata; Mammalia; Dasyuromorphia; Dasyuridae
Description: lncRNA (ENSSHAG00000021790.1)
Source: RNAcentral
GGGGGGCUCUUUCCUAGGCCAGCCUCGCCUCCGCUCCCGCAAGCACGCGCGAACGACAGCCCCGGGGUUCCCGCUCUGAGCCCCUCGGCCCCGCCCCCCGGUCUGGCUCGCGCUAAGGGAGGGAGAGGGGGAGGGAGGAGGAGCGAGGAUGCUGAGGCCAGGCAAGGCGAGAGCUGGGUGGGGAGAUAGGGGAGGGGAGGGAGAAGGAAAGGAAGCGGAGGGCGGGGGAGAGGGAAAGGGGGCUCUCGCGCGAUUGGGCGAGGUUUCCGGUGUUGUGACUGAAGCCCGUCAACAUGGCGGCGAGUGUCCGCGGCCGCUCGCUGAAGCACCUCAGGAUACGAGGGCGGAAUGACAGCGGCGAGGAGAACGUCCCGCUGGAUCUCACCCGAGGGGAUCGAUAUAUUUUUCUGCGGUGAGCCUCGGAACCGGCUGGUUACUGCGAGGUGUCUGGUACAGCUGGAUCCCCCUCCCACACACACCCCCCUCCUCUCCUUUUCCCGGGCCGCUGAGAGUGUAGUUGGCAGAGACCGCCCCCUCACCCUGCUGCAGGUUCAUUGUUUACCGUCGGCUGCAGCUAGAAAGGUUUGUUUACACCGUCUGAACUGGGGAAAAAAAAAAAAAAAAAAAAAAAAAAACCUCAGCUAUAUUUUUGAAAGACAUUGCCCGACAUUCCUUCCACCGGUGGCUGUGUUGGAAUGCGUUCACCAUUCUGCUUUAAGAUUUAGCGAUUGGUAG